UUAAUAGAAAAUACAAAUUUUUGGUUUCGGCCCAAAAAAAGAUAGAACCCUAUCCUGUUAGU
RNAcentral lists this transfer RNA (62 nucleotides) under Psilodens balduri. RNAcentral's name for it is "tRNA-Arg". Lineage: Eukaryota; Metazoa; Mollusca; Caudofoveata; Limifossorida; Limifossoridae. The record is from RNAcentral.